AUGCCGUGAUGAGGGAACUUUCAUAAUAACUCUUUGAAUCAUUCCCAUGCCUCAUAUAAAGAUUCUUCGUCAAGUUGCUGAAAUGAAGUGAUUUCAAUUCGGAUCUU
Molecule: small nucleolar RNA, 107 nt
Filed under: Gossypium hirsutum (cotton)
Lineage: Eukaryota; Viridiplantae; Streptophyta; Magnoliopsida; Malvales; Malvaceae
Description: Plant small nucleolar RNA R71
Rfam family: Plant small nucleolar RNA R71
About the family: R71 is a member of the C/D box family of snoRNAs containing the C (UGAUGA) and D (CUGA) box motifs. Multiple nearly identical copies of this snoRNA have been identified in Arabidopsis, and it is thought to function as a 2'-O-ribose methylation guide for 18S ribosomal RNA.
Source: Rfam by way of RNAcentral